CACAGAAGCUUGCUUCUCUUGAGAGCGGCGGACGGGUGAGUAAAGCCUAGGAAUCUGCCUGGUAGUGGGGGAUAACGUUCGGAAACGGACGCUAAUACCGCAUACGUCCUACGGGAGAAAGCAGGGGACCUUCGGGCCUUGCGCUAUCAGAUGAGCCUAGGUCGGAUUAGCUAGUUGGUGAGGUAAUGGCUCACCAAGGCGACGAUCCGUAACUGGUCUGAGAGGAUGAUCAGUCACACUGGAACUGAGACACGGUCCAGACUCCUACGGGAGGCAGCAGUGGGGAAUAUUGGACAAUGGGCGAAAGCCUGAUCCAGCCAUGCCGCGUGUGUGAAGAAGGUCUUCGGAUUGUAAAGCACU
This 360-nucleotide ribosomal RNA is filed under the name uncultured Pseudomonas sp. Its description in RNAcentral is "bacterial SSU rRNA". It matches the Rfam family "Bacterial small subunit ribosomal RNA", at positions 71 to 434 of the family's 1533-position model. Lineage: Bacteria; Pseudomonadati; Pseudomonadota; Gammaproteobacteria; Pseudomonadales; Pseudomonadaceae. The record is from RNAcentral.